CAUACUGGUACUCAGUUCUAGGUCAGGGAUGUCCACAGUCAAAAAAUAAAAAUAAAAAAUAAAUAUCGGCACAAUUUCUUUUAAAAUGAAGCAGGCUGUUCAUUUCAGGCACACUUGUCAGGACUUUGUAAAGAACAGAACCAAGGCACUCCGACACUUUGGUGUGUCCCUAGCAUCCCAAACUGUAAUCCUACGCCUCUCCUAGGCAUCUUUACCCACAAGGGCAGAGAGCCAGCUGUCUGGUGCGCAAGGACGUAACUUCUCACCCUGGAGAAAAAGAUCCAGCGUCCAGCAGGCCCCCAGCUCAAAGUUCACGCACACAGGUUACUCGCGAAAAACCAAAGGGCUCAGCUCUCCUGUCCCGGCAGAGCGCAGAAUCAUAAACCGCCCACUUGCCCUCCUUCCCGUCUGUGAAGCGCUCGGAGCCGC
Molecule: long non-coding RNA, 429 nt
Filed under: Marmota monax (woodchuck)
Lineage: Eukaryota; Metazoa; Chordata; Mammalia; Rodentia; Sciuridae
Source: RNAcentral